CCCCACUCCCAGUGGUCUGUUCUAUAAUGCCUCAAUUCGGUAUUGGUAAACACCUGUUUGAACAUGGCCUCGAAACGGCAACAGGAGUCGGGAGCGGAGAAAAGAAAGAAGAGGAAGCGUGAUGAAACUCAGGCGUCGCUUGCCGGGUCAAUGCUUAAAUAUGUUCAAGGAGGAUCUCAAGGACAGGAUGAACCAUCCAGUAGUAGUGCCAUCCCUGGACAUCAACCACCAGCCAUUGUAGACCCUGCAACAAUCCCUAGCCAAGAAGAACAAGAACCAUCAACCACCAGUUCAGGUACAGUUCCAUACACAAGUACCACUGAGAGUCCUGUCACUGAGAGACUAUCAGAAAGUGACACUGUGGAGACAUGUGUGCCCCCUUCAACCGAUCCUGCUCUUUGGCCAGCUCACAUUGUAGAUGCUGAUCGUGUUGAAAUUGUGCGGAGAGGUCCUUUUAAUGUCAGCUCUGAUUUUAAUUUUCCAAAGGGGCCUGAUGGAAGAGCAUUUCACACUAGCCUUAAGUUCAAAAUUCUUCCCAAUGGAGAAAAGGUUCACCGGAGCUGGU
Oreochromis aureus is the source of this 565-nucleotide long non-coding RNA. The record is from Ensembl. Lineage: Eukaryota; Metazoa; Chordata; Actinopteri; Cichliformes; Cichlidae.